UACAGAGGUGGCAAGCGUUGUUCGGAAUUACUGGGCGUAAAGGGCGCGUAGGCGGUUCGUUAAGUCCUGUGUGAAAUCCCCCGGCUCAACUGGGGAACUGCACAGGAAACUAGCGGGCUUGAGUUCGGGAGAGGGAAGCGGAAUUCCGGGUGUAGCGGUGAAAUGCGUAGAUAUCCGGAGGGACACCGGUGGCGAAGGCGGCUUCCUGGACCGACACUGACGCUGAGGCGCGAAAGCCAGGGGAGCAAACGGG
RNAcentral lists this ribosomal RNA (253 nucleotides) under uncultured bacterium. Its description in RNAcentral is "partial 16S ribosomal RNA". It matches the Rfam family "Bacterial small subunit ribosomal RNA", at positions 524 to 776 of the family's 1533-position model. The record is from RNAcentral.